Molecule: long non-coding RNA, 294 nt
Filed under: Trifolium pratense (red clover)
Lineage: Eukaryota; Viridiplantae; Streptophyta; Magnoliopsida; Fabales; Fabaceae
Description: long non-coding RNA (TPRA_LNC006610)
Source: RNAcentral
CUUGCCUCUGCCUCCACCAACACCCUUAACCUGAAAUCUAAAAAAGAAAAAGAAUUAGAAGAGGGAUAGAUCUAAAAAGAAACAAAAAAAGGGAAGAUAAUUACCUUUUUUUAACACUAUUUGUUGUGUUUUUUGCACCUUUAAUGUUGAUUUGUGUUUAAAUCACAAAAAAUAAGGUUUCUACGUAAAUUUUGGGAUUUUUUUGGGUGGUUAUGAUUCCGGCGCGGUGGUUCCAGUUGGAAGGUGGCGGCGGCUCGCCGGCGACAAGCCGGAAUCUGAGAAUCACGGCGGUCG